AGUGAACGCUGGCGGUAGGCCUAACACAUGCAAGUCGAACGGCAGCACAGUAAGAGCUUGCUCUUACGGGUGGCGAGUGGCGGACGGGUGAGGAAUACAUCGGAAUCUACUUUUUCGUGGGGGAUAACGUAGGGAAACUUACGCCAAUACCGCAUACGACCUACGGGUGAAAGCAUGGGAUCUUCGGACCUUGCGCGAUUGAAUGAGCCGAUGUCGGAUUAGCUAGUUGGCGGGGUAACGGCCCACCAAGGCGACGAUCCGUAGCUGGUCUGAGAGGAUGAUCAGCCACACUGGAACUGAGACACGGUCCAGACUCCUACGGGAGGCAGCAGUGGGGAAUAUUGGACAAUGGGCGCAAGCCUGAUCCAGCCAUACCGCGUGGGUGAAGAAGGCCUUCGGGUUGUAAAGCCCUUUUGUUGGGAAAGAAAAGCAGCAGGUUAAUACCCCGCUGUUCUGACGGUACCCAAAGAAUAAGCACCGGCUAACUCGUG
RNAcentral lists this ribosomal RNA (491 nucleotides) under uncultured bacterium. RNAcentral's name for it is "partial 16S ribosomal RNA". It matches the Rfam family "Bacterial small subunit ribosomal RNA", at positions 29 to 507 of the family's 1533-position model. The record is from RNAcentral.